Molecule: long non-coding RNA, 188 nt
Organism: Arvicanthis niloticus (Nile rat)
Lineage: Eukaryota; Metazoa; Chordata; Mammalia; Rodentia; Muridae
Source: RefSeq, a predicted model, not a curated record
AAACUCCCUGCAGCCUGGGGGCUCAUGGGGCUCUGCUGAAGAUCAAAAGCUUCAGGAGAGCUAAAACGGGCAUAACUCUUCACAGUGUCAGGAAACACUCCUGCGUUUGACGAUCCUCUGAGCUCCACCUCCUCCAACAGGUAGGAAGUCCUGAACUGUGUAAGAGUGAGAAACAGAACCAAACACAG